CAAAUCCUUCUCAAAUCUUGCAAAUCCGGAGUAUUUGACCAUGGAUUUCGAAGCCAACCCCUCCCUUAAGGGAUGAGGAGAACAUGUGUUUAUGUUCAUCAUGUGGAUAGAGAGGCCUUUUUGAAAGGCAAUGUUGAGACGGACCCGAAUGAGCUUGAUAUGGUGUUUGAGAGUAGUCCUAGCUAUGCGGAGCUUUUGGAACAAGUGAGGAAAGAUUUGAAUUGGACGGACCCAAGUGACGUUGUUGA
Molecule: long non-coding RNA, 248 nt
Organism: Triticum aestivum (bread wheat)
Lineage: Eukaryota; Viridiplantae; Streptophyta; Magnoliopsida; Poales; Poaceae
Exons: 2
Source: RefSeq, a predicted model, not a curated record